Long non-coding RNA from Arabidopsis thaliana (thale cress), 310 nucleotides. RefSeq annotates it as other RNA. NCBI's taxonomy places the organism in Eukaryota, Viridiplantae, Streptophyta, Magnoliopsida, Brassicales, Brassicaceae. The transcript has a single exon. The record is from RefSeq.
UGACUACGCUUCCGCACGUUUUAAUUUUUAAUUAAUGACCAGUUUGGAGAUGGAGUUUAGGAAAAUUGGAAAAAAAAAAUCGUUUUUUUGUUUUAUGUAGCUAAAUACUUCACUGAUUUCGAAUCAACAAUACGUUUACAUUUGUGUAUAUGCAUUUAGCAUUUGAGUGUGUGUCAUUUGUGGUAGAAUUCACAUUUACGAUUGACAUGCAUGCAAUAGUAAUAAGUAAGAUGUCUUAUUGACUGCUGUUACUAGUUUUUUCUUCUUUCUUUGUGAUCAGAAUAUUCUGGACUUUUCCCUAUAUAUAGUU